AGAUUGAUUUGGGAGCUAAGAUAGAAGGGUCCUGGGAGGGAGAACUGUUAAAUUCUACGGUCUUUGUGAGUGAGGUUUUCUGCUUCUCCUCCUGCCAGUCCCCUUCCUGCUUCCUCUCCCUUCAACCUCUGCCUUCAUGUUUCUUGUUGCUGGAUGAAAAAGAACCCAACAGAGGUAACUGAGAGACCAGAUGGGGGUAACAGUUCCCUGGAGCUAGAGCACACCAAGCCUGAUGAAGUUCAGAAUAAACCUGUAUGAGCAUGGUAUCACCACCAAGGGAAGCUGCCACAGGCAUGUCCUCACCAACAACAUUGUGAACUGGACACACAUCUCCCACACCUACACCAAAGGUGUCUACUGGAUAUGCAUUGAAAUACCUGUGAGGUCUGCUGCUAGACUUCCCUAAAAAAUUCAGACUCUGUCCCUGGACAAAUGGACAUGGCUAAGAAAAACUUUUACUUCUAUUCCAAUAUGGGAUGAAACUAGCAAUAACUUUUAGUAAUUGUGAGUAAUGGGGCUUGUCUUUUGGUUGUAAA
Molecule: non-coding RNA, 536 nt
Organism: Ictidomys tridecemlineatus (thirteen-lined ground squirrel)
Lineage: Eukaryota; Metazoa; Chordata; Mammalia; Rodentia; Sciuridae
Source: RefSeq, a predicted model, not a curated record